GAUGAACGCUGGCGGCGUGCUUAACACAUGCAAGUCGAACGGUGAUGCCCAGCUUGCUGGGUGUACUAGAGGCGAACGCGGGAGUAACACGCGAGUAACCCGUGCUUGACACUGGGAUAAGCCUUGAGAACUGGGUCUAAUAUCGCAUACGGCCACUCCGCCUACGUCAUGGUGGUGGGAAGGUUUUGUGGUUUUGGAUGGACUCGCGGCUUAUCAGCUUGUUGGUGGGGUAAUGGCCUACCAAGGCGAUGACGGGUAGCCGGCCUGAGAGGGUGACCGGCCACACUGGGACUGAGAUACGGCCCAGACUCCUACGGGAGGCAGCAGUGGGGAAUAUUGCACAAUGGGCGGAAGCCUGAUGCAGCAACGCCGCGUGAGGGAUGACGGCCUUCGGGUUGUAAACCGCUUUCAGUAGGGAAGAAGCGAGAGUGACGGUAACUGCAGAAGAAGCACCGGCUAACUACGUG
RNAcentral lists this ribosomal RNA (467 nucleotides) under uncultured bacterium. RNAcentral's name for it is "partial 16S ribosomal RNA". It matches the Rfam family "Bacterial small subunit ribosomal RNA", at positions 28 to 507 of the family's 1533-position model. The record is from RNAcentral.